This 208-nucleotide long non-coding RNA is filed under the name Lupinus angustifolius (narrow-leaved blue lupine). RNAcentral describes it as "long non-coding RNA (LANG_LNC003381)". The record is from RNAcentral. Lineage: Eukaryota; Viridiplantae; Streptophyta; Magnoliopsida; Fabales; Fabaceae.
GCUCUGGGUGUUUGAUUUGGGAAUAGAGGCAUAACAUGUUGACUUUUGUGGGAAAAGACUCUGGAAAGCAUAGAGACCUUCUGAGGUGAGUGACCCUUUGAGGAGAAUGGUGUUAGAACCCUGUGAUUUCACAAAACAUUCAUUAGGGUGGAAUUCAAAGUAACACUUGUUAUCUUUGGCAAAUUGAGAGACACUAAUUAGAUUUUUA